GACGAACGCUGGCGGCGUGCUUAACACAUGCAAGUCGAACGGAAAGGCCCUGCUUUUGUGGGGUGCUCGAGUGGCGAACGGGUGAGUAACACGUGAGUAACCUGCCCUUGACUUUGGGAUAACUUCAGGAAACUGGGGCUAAUACCGGAUAGGAGCUCCUGCGGCAUGGUGGGGGUUGGAACGUUUCGGCGGUUGGGGAUGGACUCGCGGCUUAUCAGCUUGAUGGUGGGGUAGUGGCUUACCAAGGCUUUGACGGGUAGCCGGCCUGAGAGGGUGACCGGCCACAUUGGGACUGAGAUACGGCCCAGACUCCUACGGGAGGCAGCAGUGGGGAAUAUUGCACAAUGGGCGGAAGCCUGAUGCAGCAACGCCGCGUGCGGGAUGACGGCCUUCGGGUUGUAAACCGCUUUCGCCUGUGACGAAGCGUGAGUGACGGUAAUGGGUAAAGAAGCACCGGCUAACUACGUG
This 468-nucleotide ribosomal RNA is filed under the name uncultured bacterium. Its description in RNAcentral is "partial 16S ribosomal RNA". It matches the Rfam family "Bacterial small subunit ribosomal RNA", at positions 28 to 507 of the family's 1533-position model. The record is from RNAcentral.